Molecule: ribosomal RNA, 393 nt
Filed under: uncultured bacterium
Lineage: Bacteria
Description: partial 16S ribosomal RNA
Rfam family: Bacterial small subunit ribosomal RNA
Source: RNAcentral
AUACGGAGGACGCGAGCGUUAUCCGGAUUCAUUGGGUUUAAAGGGUGCGCAGGCGGCCGUGCAAGUCAGCGGUGAAAGCCCGGGGCCCAACCCCGGAAGUGCCGUUGAUACUGCAUGGCUUGAAUGCGGUCGAGGCGGGGGGAAAGGGGGGUGUAGCGGGGAAAUGCGGAGAUAGGGCACAGAACGCCGAUAGCGGAGGCCGUUCGCCAGGCCUGCAUUCACGCUCGGGCGCGAAAGCGUGGGGAUCGAACAGGAUUAGAUACCCUGGUAGCCCACGCCGUAAACGAUGGGCGCUCGUCGUCGGCGGCAGACAGUCGGCGGCCAAGCGAAAGCGAUAAGCGCCCCACCUGGGGAGUACGGUCGCAAGGCUGAAACUCAAAGGAAUGGACGGGG